GCUUCUAAAUUAGCUGCCUCAAGAAGGAGACCUAACUAUGAUCUCUACAUGAAGACCAAAGAGGACAGUGAUGUCUAUGAAGCUGGGACUGAUGGGCUUCCGCUGACCAACCUUUCCCAACAUCUGGCUCUGAUUUCAGCAUGAUGGCAUCGGGAGCCUCGUCACACCGUGUCCAUCGUGGUCCCCUAACACAGUACACGAGACUCGAGGAAAACCAUGGCUUUCCACGUGGGCCACACGUGGCGUGGCUCACACAGAGGACAUGCAGACGUGUUUCCUGGGUGCUGCCAUCAGCCCACGCUCCUCAGUCUUCUCCUGCGCCCUGAAAGCAUCUGUCAGACUCCCCCACUGUGGCACAGCGGCCGUCGGCAGCUGAAGUCUCUGCUGGUAAACUGCUACAUCAAACCCAGCUGCAACUGUAAUAUCAUCCCUCUUCUACCAUUUUCUCUUUAUUAGCCAGGAUCAUUAAAACCAAAACAAAUUGGUAGUACGUUUUCAUUGAUAAAUAUAUUUAAGUUCGUCUUAGCAUCCAAAACACUGAUUAAGCUUGAUAGAGUUUUGUACCUCAGAGCUUAAUUUUACUAAACAUUGAUAUAACAACAUUGAAAUAUAAUGUCAUUUCUUUGCUAAGACAACCAAGUGUUCCCACCCACAGUUAAUUGCAUUGUGGUGGUGUCUGGUUUUGUUCUUUUUUUUUUUUUUAACAGAAGUGGUAAAAAUACGCAGGCUUGACUGACAUGACCUUGUGCUUUUCAUGUCACCAGCUGAUAAUCCUAGGACAGUUGCAGGCAUUUUCCCAUGUCUUGUCAACAGCCAGAGGGACAAGGAUUCCUGGCUGGAGAGCACAGGCCUGGGUUUCCUGCUGGUAGGGAGGCAGGAGCCUCAUUGAGAUGCAGUGAUUUUCCCGGGCUGUGGUGCCUGAGCGAUGCUGCUGCAGCUCCUCGGCUGUUCGUGCUUUGAGAGCACCUGCCUUGGGAGGCACCACCUUGUUCAGCUAUCUGCCAAC
RNAcentral lists this long non-coding RNA (1006 nucleotides) under Calidris pugnax (ruff). RNAcentral's name for it is "lncRNA (ENSCPUG00000017408.1)". The record is from RNAcentral. Lineage: Eukaryota; Metazoa; Chordata; Aves; Charadriiformes; Scolopacidae.